AACGAACGCUGGCGGCGUGCUUAACACAUGCAAGUCGAACGAGAAAAUCGUAGACAAUACGGUGAGUAAAGUGGCGCACGGGUCCGUAACACGUGGAUAAUCUGCCUUCGGGUGGGGGAGUAACCUGUCGAAAGACGAGCUAAUACCCCGUAACGACCACGAGAACUUCGGUUCUUGAGGUAAAGAUGGCCUCUAUUUAUAAGCUAUCACCUGAAGAUGAGUCCGCGCACCAUUAGCUAG
Molecule: ribosomal RNA, 240 nt
Filed under: uncultured bacterium
Lineage: Bacteria
Description: partial 16S ribosomal RNA
Rfam family: Bacterial small subunit ribosomal RNA
Source: RNAcentral